RNAcentral lists this ribosomal RNA (585 nucleotides) under Vanderwaltozyma cf. yarrowii UWO(PS)00-113.2. RNAcentral's name for it is "LSU rRNA". It matches the Rfam family "Eukaryotic large subunit ribosomal RNA", at positions 67 to 668 of the family's 3401-position model. Lineage: Eukaryota; Fungi; Ascomycota; Saccharomycetes; Saccharomycetales; Saccharomycetaceae. The record is from RNAcentral.
AACCGGGAUUGCCUCAGUAACGGCGAGUGAAGCGGCAAAAGCUCAAAUUUGAAAUCUGGUACCUUCGGUGCCCGAGUUGUAAUUUGGAGAAGGCAACUUUGGGGCUGUUCCUUAUCUAUGUUCCUUGGAACAGGACGUCAUAGAGGGUGAGAAUCCCGUAUGAUGAGGAGUGCAGUUCUAUGUAAAGUGCUUUCGAAGAGUCGAGUUGUUUGGGAAUGCAGCUCAAAGUGGGUGGUAAAUUCCAUCUAAAGCUAAAUAUUGGCGAGAGACCGAUAGCGAACAAGUACAGUGAUGGAAAGAUGAAAAGAACUUUGAAAAGAGAGUGAAAAAGUACGUGAAAUUGUUGAAAGGGAAGGGCAUUUGAUCAGACAUGGUGUUUUGCGCCCUUUACUCCUCGUGGGUGAAGGAAUCUCGCAGCUCACUGGGCCAAUAUCAGUUUUGGCGGUAGGAUAAAACCAUUGGAACGUAGCUUACUUCGGUAAGUAUUAUAGCCUUUGGUAAUACUGCCAGCCGGGACUGAGGUAUGCGCUUUGCCAAGGAUAUUGGCAUAAUGGUUAAAUGCCGCCCGUCUUGAAACACCGACCA